AAACAAAGCUGAAAAAACACGUUGCCUUACUCUUAGCAUUAGGGUUUUCUUUCUCUCCUUUCAUUCUCCAGUUGCGGCGCCACCUCUUCAAGUCUUCAUUCCUCCUUGUCCUAGACCUUGCGAUUGUUUGUUCUCUUAACUUGCUUCUUACUCUGUUUUGACUUCCUAUAAAGCCACCAGCAAAAAUGAUACUUCUCCAUAUUUUCUGUUUUGGCUUUCUAGAUAGUGGUUGUGAUAGUGUUGUUAGAUGACACUGUUCGAAGCAAGUCCUUCCCUAUUGAUUUUGGUUGGUUAUCUUUUUAGGUUUUGAUUUUGGUUUUUGCGGUUCUGCAGUGGCGAAUUAGAAUCAAAUUCACAUCUCAGACUUCAGAGAUUUUCAAAUCAAUGAGAAUGACAAUUCUGUUGCUGAGCAGAAUUUGCUAUUUCGUUAUUAUUUUUUAUUAUUGAAUUAUUGAAUUCUGUUUUUUCUUUUUUUUUUUUUUUUAAAUUUAGUAGUUAAGUUGUAUUGACGAGAGAUUUCUGAGAAGGAGUCUCAUGCUUUGUGGAGAGCAAACUCAUUACGGUGUUUGCAUAUUUCUCAAGUAACCGUCAUAAAUCAAUGCUCCCGGCGUCGACGGCACCGCCCUCACAGGUGGCACCUCCGCCGGAGCAGUCUCAUAUUCCAUUGCCUUGUGAAGCGGUGUCGCCGCCUUUACCAUUUGGGACUGGCCAUGAGACGAACAUUACAAUCCGUUUUUUCAAUUUAUCUUUUUUAGAACAUAGGGUAGUACUUGCUCUGAAAUUUGAAAUAAUAUUUUACUUAUUUUGUUUAGGGAGGUUCAUUGUGUAUAUCAAAUUUAAACUCAAUAAAUUGUUAGGGUUUUUAUGCUGGCGGGAAUGGAACAGUAGAACUUAUGUUCUUUGUUCUUUUUAAUUGCUUUCUGCAGACAAUUAAUUCAAAGACAUUUUGAUAAACAACUGUUCCAAUAUCGACUCUUGUGGAUGAGUAGAUUGCUUGUAAAUAAAAGGAGCUGCAAGAAAGUGUGGCAGGGGAGUUCAAUUUGGAGAAAUGGAACGCCACAACUGCUUGUACAUGGAGCUGCAUAUCUUCUGUAUGAUAGGUUGCACACUUGAUAUGAUUAUCACAUUGCUGAUGUUUGUUCAAUUUGUGGAAGCAUGCUUACAACAACAUUCAUCAAACCUUAAAAUUGGCCAGUUCGUAAGAUUGGUGGGCCUCCCCCUGGAAGAGUUCCAGAAAAGGGCAUUAGUCAUACAAAAUUAGGGUUUAUGAUUCCUUAGUCUCUGUUUCACUUUCGAAUUUUGCUUUCACAUUAUGCUUCGCUAUCUGGUCGAUGUGGAUUAACUUGAUUCCCAUUUGAUUCGUUCCCUUGAAGCAAUAGCGAUUUGUGUUGGUCUUUUUUUAUCUCUUCCACAAUCCCUUUGGUUUUGGGAGAACACAGGAGCAACUAAAUCUAAUUUUCUCUUUAAGAUGUCAUUUGUUUGUUGUGGGUUUGCAUUUUCUGGUUGAUUGAGUUACGAUUAUUUUCAACUGUGAUGAGCCAAUAGACCUGUAAUGAUUUGCGGCUAUGAUCGCAAUCAUUAAUGAACAUCUAAGGGACUGAGUUAUCCAGUGUUUUUUUUCUUUUCCAGUUUUCUAUUUUUUCUUUUACAUUUUGGUUUUGAAAGUUUGGUUUUUGUUUAAUUUUUACAAUAUGUUCUUUUGAAUUGGGGUUAGUGUUUGAAAGGCUUCAGCUUUCUUUGAGAUUUUAGCUUGCACUUUUUCCACUGUGUUUGGUGAUGCUUAAUUGAAGCCCCGAUAUGUGUUCCUCCUCGCUAUCCGUUGUUGCAAUUUUGAUGCAGCAUUUGGAUGUCGGGGAACUUAAUCACUCUUUUUUGUUUGUCAGAAAUUUGGUUUUUCAUUUUGAGGUAUUUACUAUGAAAUAUUGAUGUUAUUGCUUUCAUUCCAUUGGGUUGAGUCAUUUAUUUGGGGUUAGAUCAUGUUUUCUUACUACUUAUAAUAGUUUAUUUAUGAUGUUGUUUUGAGAUUUUGGUGGGUUAUGAUGAAGCUGAAUAUAUAAUCCAACACUUGAUCUGAGUUAUUAUGAGUGAUGGUAAACAAUUUCUAUGCUUCUGAAUCUACACCUGUUUUUGAGUAACUAUUUUCACUAUUAUUUUUCAAUUGGGCCUGUUAGGUAGGUUUUCAUGUUCUGGAAAUAUAACCAUUUUUUGUAUGGGUUAGGUUAUCUCAUUUAGUUUUACUGCCACAUUUUUGUAUCUUCCAUUAGGGAAAGUGCUUGAAGCAUUUGUGCUUACACACAAGCAUUAGCUUUUGUUAAUUGACCCAUUGACAUAGAUUGAUUAGUGGAUUGACGUAUGUUGAUUUAAUAUGAUUAGUGGAUCGACGUAUUAUUAUUUGCUUAGAAGCUCCCUUUAUUCCCGUUGCUAACAUCAUGUGAUGAAUUUGGAAAAAUCUUAGGACACCUUCCUACACAGCAAACAUUGCUGUGGAUGAGAAUAAAUUUUCCAUGCUGAUGAUGUGCUUUGUUUCUGUUCCACUCUUAGUAGGCCCAACAAAAUUGGUGAUAUUAUGUUUUGGGUUUUGCUUUUUUCUGGUUGAUUGAGUUAGUGGGGUUACGCUAUUUUCAACUUUGAUGAGCCUCCAGACCUGUAAUGAUUUGCGGGUAUGAUCACGAUCAUUAAUGAACAUCUAAGGGACUGAGUUAUCCAGUUUAUUUCCUGUUUUUUUUUUUAAUUUUUUCUUUAGAUUUGGGUUUUGAAACUUUGGUUCUUGUUUAAAUUUUAAUAUUUUUUGUGAUUGGGGCUAAUGGUUGAAAGGCUUCAGCUUUCUUUGAGAUUUUUGCUUGCACUUUUUAACAAUCCAUUGGUGCAAUUUUCAUGCAGCAUUUGGACGUUGGGGAACUAAAUUGCUUAUGUCAGAAUUGUUUUUUUAUUAUUUAUUUUUGAGUUAAUUUUUACCACGAAAUGUUGAUGUUAUUGAUAUGUUGCCAUCGGGUUGAGUUAUUUAUUUGAGGUUUAUAAGAUCGUGUUUUCUUACUGCUUAUAAUAGUUUGAGAUCUAUGUUGGUUUGAGAUUUUGGUGGGUUGGGAUGAAGCUGAAUAUAUAAUCCAACACUUUAUGAGUUAUUAUGAGUUAUGGUAAAUGAUUUCUUUGCUUCUGAAAUUACUUAUCUUUUUUUGAAUAUAUAAUCCAACACUUAUCUGAGUUACAAUGUUUGUUUUUUUCUUAUUAUUUUUUUAUCAACUUGGCCCGUUCGAUAGGUUUUCAUGUUUUGCUAUAACCUCUUACUACAGGAUCCUUACCUAGCCAACAUUUAGAUUCGGUUCUACCUAAAAUUUUUUGGUUGACUCCAAUGUGUCCCACUUGUCUCACCAUUGCCGAUCAGUUUUUGGAUAUGAAAUGCAGUAUUUCACGUAUUGGAGAAACAUAACACCAUUGCCGAUCAGUUUUUGGAUAUCAAAUGCAGUGUUUCACGUAUUGGAGAAACAUAACACCACGAUUUGGAAACUCCCUCCACAUUCAGUCUCAACAUUUUGCCUUGCCUCCACUCUCUUCCGCCCAUUACUACCGCCCUCUCUAAACCCUACUCCAGUUUGAGUGGUAGCUUUUCUGGUGGCAUUCCAAUGGCGCUCUGAUUACUGUUCCGGCCACCUGCAACUGUUCCACUUCCAGCAACCUUCAUUAUUCCUUCAACAUCCCUUUCCUUCUUUUUAUUUCAACCCGCACUGAGAAUGUCUUCACCCACUGAUCCAUCAACCCUCUCAGCUCGUUCAGCCACCACCAACAUAGGGGAUCUAAGUAGUCGUCAUCAUUCUGCUACUGCUAUACUGCCAUAGCAUUUUUGGAGAUCCACUAUUAACUACUAUGAUUGACAUAUGUUGAUUAAUGAUUAGUGUAACAUGAUUAUUUGCUUAGAAGUUUUUAUUCUCAUUGCUACGUCAUGUGAUGAAUUUGGAAAAAUCUUAGGACACCUUCCUACACAGCAAACAAUGCUGUGGAUGAGAAUAAAUUUUCCAUGCUGAUGAUGUGCUUAUUUUCUGUUGUACACUUGGUAGGCCCAACAAUACUCAAAUGGAGGGAAUAUUUGUUUUUUAAGAUUGGCGAUACUUUGUUGUGGUUUUGCAUUUUCUGGUAGAUAGGGCUGCGCUAUUUUCAACUGUGAUGAGCCUUCAGACCUGUAAUGAUUUUCGGGAUUCCAAUGUUUUGAUGUAUAUGCAAUGACAUGAUCUUGACCAUGUACUCUUUGUUUGAGGAUGCCACCAUAACCUAUGUCUGAUGCAUCGAUUUCGACAAUUUUAAAUGCCUGAGGAAUCGGAAGAUACAGACAUUUUAUAGAGUGGACUUUGAGUUUGAUUUCUUUAACUGUUUGUGUAUGGAGAUCAGACCAAGGAGGCAGAUUUUUCUUCGGCCUAUCAUGCAAUGGUUUGACAAUAUUGUUUAAAUAGGGGACAAAUUCUCCUACAUAAGUUAGACAACCUAGAAAUCUUUGUAAAUGGGUCUUGUCUAAGAUUUGGCUGGGAUAUUUGUUAGCAAACUCUAUUGACCUUUCUAAUGGAAUGUUUGUACCUUGAUAUAUAUUGUGACCAAGUAAUCGAAUUCGAGUUUGAAAAAGAUUGAUUUUUGAUUUG
Molecule: long non-coding RNA, 4625 nt
Organism: Glycine soja
Lineage: Eukaryota; Viridiplantae; Streptophyta; Magnoliopsida; Fabales; Fabaceae
Exons: 3
Source: RefSeq, a predicted model, not a curated record